RNAcentral lists this ribosomal RNA (840 nucleotides) under uncultured bacterium. Its description in RNAcentral is "bacterial SSU rRNA". It matches the Rfam family "Bacterial small subunit ribosomal RNA", at positions 8 to 865 of the family's 1533-position model. The record is from RNAcentral.
AGAGUUUGAUCAUGGCUCAGGAUGAACGCUGGCGGCGUGCCUAACACAUGCAAGUCGAACGUGAGAAGAUAGCAAUAUCUUUGAAAGUGGCGAACGGGUGAGUAACACGUGGGUAACCUGCCGCGCAGAGGGGGAUAACAACUGGAAACGGUCGCUAAUACCGCAUGGGACUCUUUAAACGGGAGUUUAGAGAGUUAAAGCCUUGGCGCUGCGCGAGGGGUCUGCGUCCGAUUAGUUAGUUGGUGAGGUAAUGGCUCACCAAGGCGAUGAUCGGUAGCUGGUCUGAGAGGAUGAUCAGUCACACGGGAACUGAGACACGGUCCCGACUCCUACGGGGGGCAGCAGUGAGGAAUAUUGCACAAUGGUCGCAAGUCUGAUGCAGCAACGCCGCGUGGAGGAUGAAGGUCUUCGGAUUGUAAACUCCUUUUCCCAGGGAAGAGAAUGGACGGUACCUGGGGAAUAAGUCACGGCUAACUACGUGCCAGCAGCCGCGGUAAUACGUAGGUGGCAAGCGUUAUCCGGAAUUACUGGGCGUAAAGCGCACGCAGGCGGUUUCUUAAGUUUGACGUGAAAGCUCCUGGCUUAACUGGGAGAGGUCGUUGAAGACUGGGAAGCUUGAGGCAAUGAGAGGGAUGUAGAAUUCACGGUGUAGUGGUGGAAUGCGUAGAUAUCGUGAGGAAUACCAGUGGCGAAAGCGGCAUCCUGGCAUUAGCCUGACGCUCAUGUGCGAAAGCGUGGGGAGCGAACGGGAUUAGAUACCCCGGUAGUCCACGCUGUAAACGAUGAACACUAGGUGUAGGUGGUGUGAAAGCUAUCUGUGCCGAAGCUAACGCGUUAAGU